AUGGCGGAGGAAGGGAAAAGGAAAAAGAUUCCUUUGGUUCCAGAAAAUCUCCUGAAAAAGAGGAAGGCUUAUCUAGCCCUCAACGCCACUUAGGCAAAGCAGGCACUUUGGCAAAGAGAGAGAGAAAAGGGAAACAAUUCAGGUUUAGACGACUAGAAUCUUUUGUACUUGAUUCCUGGCAGCAGCAACGUGAAGAGGUGCGUGUCCAGCAACUAGAGGUGAUGUCUCGUGCUUUGGAGAUGCCUGAUAAACAUUCCUUGACCUUCGUUAUAUGCAUGGAAAGGAUUGAAGGAGUGAGUUUAUUGGUAAAGAGCACCAUCAUGAAACUUGGCCUGAAGAAAUUGUUCCGUGGCAUCUUUGUCAAGGUCACCCCUCAGAGCGUAAGAAUGCUGCUCACGGUGGAGCCUUAUGUGACCUGGGGAUUUCCAAAUCUGAGGUCUGUCCGGGGACUCAUCUUGAAACGUGGACAAGCAAAGAUUAAGACAGUCCCUCUGACAGACAACACGGUGAUCGAGGAGCACCUGGGGAGAUUUGGUGUCGUUUUCCUGGAAGACCUCAUCCAUGAAAUUGCCUUCCCUGGCAAGCAUUUCUAGGAGGUCUCUUCAUUCUUGUGCCCUUUCCACCUCUCUGUGGCCUGCCAUGCUACCAAGAACAGAGUGGGCUUCCUCAAAGAGAUGGGUUCACCUGGUUACCGGGGAGAAUGGAUCAAUCAGCACAUUGGGCAGCUCAAC
This is an RNA transcript of Mus musculus (house mouse), 731 nucleotides long. It is a transcript of the gene named RIKEN cDNA 1700084J12 gene, with no coding region annotated. The transcript has a single exon. The record is from RefSeq and is marked provisional. NCBI's taxonomy places the organism in Eukaryota, Metazoa, Chordata, Mammalia, Rodentia, Muridae.